Molecule: RNA transcript, 2935 nt
Organism: Prunus dulcis (almond)
Lineage: Eukaryota; Viridiplantae; Streptophyta; Magnoliopsida; Rosales; Rosaceae
Gene name: BTB/POZ domain-containing protein At5g48800
Exons: 7
Source: RefSeq, a predicted model, not a curated record
AAACAGCAUCACCUUUAAUUUAAAAAACAAAUUAAAUCCAACAGAGAUCAGCAAAAACAGGAAGAGAUUAUGCAAGAUUUUGAGUGUGCUACUAAAACCCAAAAAAAAGCAGAAAAGCAUGACCCACCAAAGAGGCCCAUUGCUUUGGACAAUUGCAAUCUGUGUUUGAACACCACCUGUUUGACAAAAGAAAAAAAAAAUGGCCAAAGAAGUUCACCAACAGCAACAUCUCCAACUGGGUUCCUGUCUCUCUUCCCAUGACAAGCAGCAACAGCAGCUCUCCUUGGCUAAGAGGUCGCGGCAGCAGCGAAACAAUGAAUGGAUUUUCCGGGAUGUUCCCAGUGAUAUUACGAUACAAAUGAAUGGAGGGGAUUUCUCACUACACAAGUUUCCUCUUGUUUCUCGAAGUGGACGAAUCCGAAAGUUAGUCGCUGAACAUAGGGACUCUGAUAUCUCAAGAGUGGAGCUUCUUAAUCUACCAGGAGGUGCUGAGUCAUUUGAGUUGGCAGCAAAGUUCUGUUAUGGUAUCAACUUUGAAAUCACUUCUGGAAAUGUUGCUCAGCUUUGCUGUGCUUCUGAUUACCUAGAAAUGACUGAAGAGUUCUCAAAAGACAAUCUUGGUUCACGUGCUGAAGAAUAUCUUGAAUGCAUUGUCUGCAAGAACCUUGAAAUGUGUGUUGAAGUUUUGCUCCAAUGUGAGAGUUUACUCCCUCUGGCUGAUGAGCUGAAGAUAGUUAGCCGCUGCAUCGAUGCAAUAGCCUCAAAGGCUUGUGUAGAGCAAAUUGCUUCAAGCUUCUCGCGGUUGGAGUAUAGCAGCUCAGGGAGGCUUCACAUGAACAGGCAAGCCAAGUGUGAUGGGGACUGGUGGAUAGAAGAUCUUUCUGUUCUUCGAGUCGACUUGUACCAAAGAGUCAUAACAGCCAUGAAGUGUCGUGGAGUUCGCCCUGAGAGUAUCGGUGCAUCUCUUGUGAACUAUGCCCAGAAGGAGUUGACAAAGAAGUCCAGCUUAUGGAACCCAUCCGGCCAGACAAAAGUUGAUGUAAUUCCAGCUUCAACUGGACACGAAAAACUUGUGGUUGAGACAAUUGUCGGCCUUCUGCCCGUUGAGAAACUUGUUGUUCCGAUUACUUUCCUAUUCGGGCUUUUGCGAAGUGCUGUAAUGCUUGAUUGCACAAUUGCUUGCAGACUUGAUCUGGAGAGGAGGAUUGGCUCCCAGUUGGAUAUUGCCACUCUUGAUGAUCUUCUGAUCCCUUCUUUCAAGCACGCAGGUGAUACUUUAUUUGAUGUGGAUACAGUGCAUAGGAUUUUAGUUAACUUUUCUCAGCAAGACGACAGUGAAGAAGAUAUGGAAGAUGGCUCUGUCUUUGAAUCAGACAGUCCUCAUUCGCCGUCCCAAACCGCUUUGUUUAAAGUUUCAAAGUUGUUGGACAAUUACCUUGCUGAAAUAGCCCCAGAUGCAAACCUCAAGCUUGCUAAAUUCCUAGUCAUUGCUGAUGCUUUACCCGAGCAUGCACGAACGGUUCAUGAUGGGUUAUAUCGAGCCAUUGAUAUUUACUUAAAAGCCCAUCAAGGCUUAUCAGAUACAGACAAGAAGAAGCUGUGCAAAAUGAUUGAUUUCCAAAAGCUCUCACAAGAAGCUGGUGCACACGCUGCACAGAAUGAGCGCCUCCCUCUGCAGUCAAUAGUACAAGUGCUUUAUUUUGAGCAAAUAAGGCUCAGAAAUUCCUUGGGCUGCUCGGGUGAAGAUGAACCCAAGCCAAUGCACCAGUCAUGGCGGAUCAGCAGUGGUGCACUCAGUGCAGCAAUGUCUCCGCGAGACAACUAUGCAUCAUUGAGGAGAGAAAACCGUGAGCUAAAACUUGAGCUAGCUCGGUUACGGAUGAGACUAAAUGAUCUUGAGAGAGAACAUGUCUGUAUGAAGAGGGACAUGGAGAAGUCCAAUUCUCGUAAAUUUAUGAGUUCUUUCUCUAAGAAACUUGGCAAGCUGAGCUUCUUUGGACAUAGUUCUUCAAGGGCAUCCACUUCUCCAUCGAGGCAGUCGUAUAGAACUGAUUCUAAAGUGAUUGAGAGAACGUGUGCAAGCACAGAUUAGGUAAAAGCUACCUUAAGACGAAGAGACUUACGAGCACUAUCGGGUUUUCUUAAACAGGAUUUCAACAAGAUUUUCCGUGAGUUUUCUUGUUUGUGGAAGACAACCCUGGCCAAGCUCCAACCUGGGAAUCUGUUUGGAGCCCUUUGUCCGAGUCAACUUCUUCAUCACUAGGGCUUACAGUAGCACAAGAAAAGAACUGAUGCUUAAGCCUUCGUCUCUGCUCUUGAUGCUUCAGUGUCACGCCAGCAUAUGCCUUUGGUGGGGAAGUUAGUUGUUCUGAUGCUGGAUGGAGACCAUGAUCUUUAGCAGAUUGUCUCUGCUGUGAGGAAGAAGAAAAAGAAGAUUGGCAACCGCGCUCUCGGGCUUUAAGCAGCUGAUAAAUCGUGCGGUUAGGAACUAUAAAAAACAAUUUUCCAGGAGUCAAAACUGCUUCAGCCUUAACCACAAUCCAUGGGAACUCAAAGAUGUCUGGCCUAGUUAUGGAGUGCCUGGGGUACUUUCUCAUCACCUCUUGAGCUGUUAUUGGUUCCUUGUGAACCUCCACACGCCUCCCCGGACGCACCAACUUGAGCACACCUUCCUCCCUUGUUAUGCUUCCCAUUGCCACUAUUUGAUUUCAAUGCUCUCUUAGCAAACAGGGCUAAGAGAAAAACUCAAGCAAGAGAAGCUACCAGGCUGCUCAAGUUGUCUUCUUAUAGGUCUCAACUCACUAAAUGAUAAAAUUUGGUGGCAAAACUUAUGAAGAAUCUUCGGAUGGCAUGAAAGAUUGGCUGGAGAAUGUGAAUUCCUUUGUCCAGAUAGACUCUGUAAUCACAAUUUAGUAGAUUUUUUGUUUGUUUUGUC